UGGGGAAUCUUGCGCAAUGGGCGAAAGCCUGACGCAGCAACGCCGCGUGAGCGAAGAAGGCCUUCGGGUUGUAAAGCUCUGUCAGGGGGAAAGAAGGCACCUGGGUUAAUAGCCCAAGGGCUGACGGUACCCCCAAAGGAAGCCACGGCUAACUACGUGCCAGCAGCCGCGGUAAUACGUAGGUGGCGAGCGUUGUCCGGAAUCAUUGGGCGUAAAGAGCGCGUAGGUGGCUUGUCAGGUCCGAUGUGAAAACCUGGGGCUCAACCCCAGGCCUGCAUUGGAAACCGGCUUGCUAGAGUCUGGGAGAGGAGAGUGGAAUUCCUGGUGUAGCGGUGAAAUGCGUAGAUAUCAGGAGGAACACCGGUAGCGAAGGCGGCUCUCUGGAACAGUACUGACGCUGAGGCGCGAAAGCUAGGGGAGCGAACAGG
RNAcentral lists this ribosomal RNA (428 nucleotides) under uncultured bacterium. Its description in RNAcentral is "bacterial SSU rRNA". It matches the Rfam family "Bacterial small subunit ribosomal RNA", at positions 355 to 776 of the family's 1533-position model. The record is from RNAcentral.